GAGGCGUCCAGUGCAGUAACACGACUGAUCCCGGAGAAGCUGGUGGGAGCCUCGCCGAGAGUUCUCUUUUCUUUGUGAAGGGCAGUGCGCCCUGGAAUGGGUUCACCCCAAGAGAGGGGCCCAAGCCCUGGAAAGCGUUGCGGGUUCCAGCGGGGUCUGGUGAGCUCUCGCUGGCCCUUGAAAAUCUGGGGGAGAGGGUGUAAAUCUC
This 208-nucleotide non-coding RNA is filed under the name Salmo salar (Atlantic salmon). RNAcentral's name for it is "Eukaryotic large subunit ribosomal RNA". It matches the Rfam family "Eukaryotic large subunit ribosomal RNA", at positions 1631 to 1835 of the family's 3401-position model. Lineage: Eukaryota; Metazoa; Chordata; Actinopteri; Salmoniformes; Salmonidae. The record is from Rfam by way of RNAcentral.